RNAcentral lists this ribosomal RNA (495 nucleotides) under uncultured bacterium. RNAcentral's name for it is "partial 16S ribosomal RNA". It matches the Rfam family "Bacterial small subunit ribosomal RNA", at positions 28 to 507 of the family's 1533-position model. The record is from RNAcentral.
GACGAACGCUGGCGGCGUGCCUAACACAUGCAAGUAGAACGCUGAAGGCGGAGCUUGCUUCUCUGGAUGAGUUGCGAACGGGUGAGUAACGCGUAGGUAACCUGCCUGGUAGCGGGGGAUAACUAUUGGAAACGAUAGCUAAUACCGCAUAAGAGUAGAUGUUGCAUGACAUUGUCUUAAAAGGUGCAAUUGCAUCACUAGCAGAUGGCCUUGCGUUGUAUUAGCUAGUUGGUGGGGUAACGGCUCACCAAGGCGACGAUACAUAGCCGACCUGAGAGGAUGAGCAGCCUCACUGGGACUGGGACACGGCCCAGGAUCCUACAGGGACCAGCAGUAGGGAGACUGCGGGAAUGGGCGGAAGGCUGACCGAGCAACGCCGCGUGAGUGUAGAGCGUUGUCGUAUCGUAAAGGACGGUUGUAAGGGAAGAACGAGUGUGAGAGUGGCAAGUUCACACUGUGACGGUAUCUUACCAAAAAGGAACGGCUAACUACGUG